This 605-nucleotide ribosomal RNA is filed under the name Jamesozyma zonata. RNAcentral describes it as "eukaryotic LSU rRNA". It matches the Rfam family "Eukaryotic large subunit ribosomal RNA", at positions 37 to 655 of the family's 3401-position model. The record is from RNAcentral. Lineage: Eukaryota; Fungi; Ascomycota; Saccharomycetes; Saccharomycetales; Saccharomycetaceae.
UGCAUAUCAAUUUAAGGGAGGAAAAGAAACCAACCGGGAUUGCCUUAGUAACGGCGAGUGAAGCGGCAAAAGCUCAAAUUUGAAAUCUAGUACCUUUGGUGCUCGAGUUGUAAUUUGUAGAGGGAUACUUUGGGGCCGUCUCUUAUCUAUGUUCCUUGGAACAGGACGUCAUAGAGGGUGAGAAUCCCGUAUGAUGAGAGUCGCGGUUCUAUGUAAAGUUCCUUCGAAGAGUCGAGUUGUUUGGGAAUGCAGCUCUAAGUGGGUGGUAAAUUCCAUCUAAAGCUAAAUAUUGGCGAGAGACCGAUAGCGAACAAGUACAGUGAUGGAAAGAUGAAAAGAACUUUGAAAAGAGAGUGAAAAAGUACGUGAAAUUGUUGAAAGGGAAGGGCAUUUGAUCAGACAUGGUGUUUUGCGCCCUCUGCUCCUUGUGGGUGGGGGACUCUCGCAGCUCACUGGGCCAGCAUCAGUUUUGGCGGUAGGAUAAAUCCAUAGGAAUGUAGCUUGCCUCGGUAAGUGUUAUAGCCUGUGGGAAUACUGCCAGCCGGGACUGAGGACUGCGACAUUCGUCAAGGAUGCUGGCAUAAUGGUUAUAUGCCGCCCGUCUG